RNAcentral lists this ribosomal RNA (489 nucleotides) under uncultured bacterium. RNAcentral's name for it is "partial 16S ribosomal RNA". It matches the Rfam family "Bacterial small subunit ribosomal RNA", at positions 30 to 506 of the family's 1533-position model. The record is from RNAcentral.
AUUGAACGCUGGCGGCAUGCCUUACACAUGCAAGUCGAACGGCAGCAUGAUCUAGCUUGCUAGAUUGAUGGCGAGUGGCGACCGGGUGAGUAAUACAUCGGAACGUGCCCUGUAGUGGGGGAUAACUAGUCGAAAGAUUAGCUAAUACCGCAUACGACCUGAGGGUGAAAGUGGGGGACCGCAAGGCCUCAUGCUAUAGGAGCGGCCGAUGUCUGAUUAGCUAGUUGGUGAGGUAAAGGCUCACCAAGGCGACGAUCAGUAGCUGGUCUGAGAGGACGAUCAGCCACACUGGGACUGAGACACGGCCCAGACUCCUACGGGAGGCAGCAGUGGGGAAUUUUGGACAAUGGGCGAAAGCCUGAUCCAGCAAUGCCGCGUGUGUGAAGAAGGCCUUCGGGUUGUAAAGCACUUUUGUCCGGAAAGAAAUGGCUCUGGUUAAUACCUGGGGUCGAUGACGGUACCGGAAGAAUAAGGACCGGCUAACUACGU